AUACAUGCAAGUCGAGCGGACAGAAGGGAGCUUGCUCCCGGAUGUUAGCGGCGGACGGGUGAGUAACACGUGGGUAACCUGCCUGUAAGACUGGGAUAACUCCGGGAAACCGGAGCUAAUACCGGAUAGUUCCUUGAACCGCAUGGUUCAAGGAUGAAAGACGGUUUCGGCUGUCACUUACAGAUGGACCCGCGGCGCAUUAGCUAGUUGGUGGGGUAAUGGCUCACCAAGGCGACGAUGCGUAGCCGACCUGAGAGGGUGAUCGGCCACACUGGGACUGAGACACGGCCCAGACUCCUACGGGAGGCAGCAGUAGGGAAUCUUCCGCAAUGGACGAAAGUCUGACGGAGCAACGCCGCGUGAGUGAUGAAGGUUUUCGGAUCGUAAAGCUCUGUUGUUAGGGAAGAACAAGUGCGAGAGUAACUGCUCGCACCUUGACGGUACCUAACCAGAAAGCCACGGCUAACUACGUGCCAGCAGCCGCGGUAAUACGUAGGUGGCAAGCGUUGUCCGGAAUUAUUGGGCGUAAAGGGCUCGCAGGCGGUUUCUUAAGUCUGAUGUGAAAGCCCCCGGCUCAACCGGGGAGGGUCAUUGGAAACUGGGAAACUUGAGUGCAGAAGAGGAGAGU
RNAcentral lists this ribosomal RNA (628 nucleotides) under Bacillus sp. (in: firmicutes). Its description in RNAcentral is "bacterial SSU rRNA". It matches the Rfam family "Bacterial small subunit ribosomal RNA", at positions 51 to 662 of the family's 1533-position model. Lineage: Bacteria; Bacillati; Bacillota; Bacilli; Caryophanales; Bacillaceae. The record is from RNAcentral.